UGCGUAGGUGGUAAUGUAUGUCGGACGUGAAAUCCCGAGGCUCAACUUCGGAAUUGCAUCCGAAACUGCAUAACUUGAGUGCAGGAUGGGAGAGCGGAAUUCUUGGUGUAGCGGUGAAAUGCGUUGAUAUCAAGAAGAACACCGGUGGCGAAGGCGGCUCUCUGGAAUGUUACUGACACUGAGGCACGAAAGCUGGGGGAGCAAACAGGAUUAGAUACCCUGGUAGUCC
This 229-nucleotide ribosomal RNA is filed under the name uncultured bacterium. RNAcentral describes it as "partial 16S ribosomal RNA". It matches the Rfam family "Bacterial small subunit ribosomal RNA", at positions 568 to 796 of the family's 1533-position model. The record is from RNAcentral.